Long non-coding RNA from Equus caballus (horse), 4282 nucleotides. NCBI's taxonomy places the organism in Eukaryota, Metazoa, Chordata, Mammalia, Perissodactyla, Equidae. The record is from Ensembl.
GGGCCCCUUCAAGUUCCUGGAACCUCCCAGGAUGCUCCUGAAGGUAGUUAUAGUUCAGCUGUAACUUGGGUCUUAGGAACACAUGGUACCAGCCACACUCAAACGGCCCUGAACGUUAACGUAUGUGGUCCUGAGUUCUCCUCUAGGACAUUCCUCUCUCAAAUCAAAAUUUGUUUAAAUGGCUUUUAUGGUCCUCCAUGAUCUGGCUCCAGCUUACCUCUGUGGCUUAAGGCCUGUCACUCCCCAUCAUUAUCUACACUUCAGCCACUCCAGCCUUUUUUGUUUUUUUUGAGGAAGAUUAGCCCUGAGCUAACAUAUGUUGCCAAUCUUCCUCUUUUUGCUGAGGAAGACUGGCCCUCAGCUAACAUCUGUGCCCAUCUUCCUCUACUUUAUAUGUGGGACGACUACCACAGCUUGGCUUGCCAAGCAGUGCCAUGUCCGCACCCGGGAUCCAAACGGGUGAACCCCUGGCCACCAAAGCAGAACGUGCAAACUUAACCGCUGCGCCACCGGGCCGGCCCCUACUCCAGCCUUUUGACUGUCCCUGGAUCACACCUCGGGGCUCUUUCACUUGCCGUUCACCCUACCUAGAAAUUUCUUUCCCCAGAACUUCACACGGCUAAUUCUUGUCAUUCAGAUGCCAACUCAAGGUCACCUCCUUACAGAUGCUUAUCUUGACCAUCCAGUGUUGUCACCCUUGCCCACUCUCCAUCUCACUACCUUGUUUUAUUUUCUUCAUAGCACUUAUCACAUUCCACACUUAUUUUCUCUUUGCUUGUCUAGCUGCUUAUUGUGCCUCUCCCACACUAGAAUGGAAACUCCAGGGGAGCAAAAGCCUUGCCCAUCGUGUUCACUGCUGUAUCCCAAGUACCUAGAACGAAGCCAGGAACAAGCUGUCAAUCAAGAAGGAUCUAUGAGAUGAAGGAGUGCCUUACUCCUUUGCCCCACCCCUUUCAUCCAGUGUUCUCCAGGAGCAAAGCCAGCAUACCAAAGGCAAGGUUCAUGCCUAAGAUGGCGCGGGUUUGACAGACACCACCAGGAACCCCUGACAGGAGGAGUAAGCUCACCACUGCGUUUGAAUCCUGGCUCCAUCGCUGCUAGCUGUGACCUUGGACUCACUUCCAGGGUGUGUGACCUUGGGCUCAUCUCUCUAUGCCUCAGUUUUCCUCCUGUGUAAAACUUGGAGAAGAAUCGCACCUACCGCACAGGAUCACGGUAAGGAUAAAUGAGAUAGGACACACCAAGCAGCUACACAGUGCCAGAGCCAUUGGAUCAGUAGUCCUGGAUGCAGAGUUGGGGAGGGGCAAGCACAAAGCCCGAGGGAUGGCCUACGUACAAAAGGCGGCCCCAUUUGCACUUCCUCAAGGGAGCUUUGGGAGGAUGAGGGGAGAUUGAAGGCCACUGCCCUGCUUUAACCCAUCAAGCUUGUUACUGUUGGCAAAGCCAGACAGAACCACUUAUCAAGAGUCAUUUUGGGGCUCCACAAAUAAUUGCCCAGCACCUGCCAGGUGCCUUAGAGAAGACUGCCCUCUGGGAGCUUAAUUUAGGAGUAGAAACAAGAUAAAAACACAAGACCAAAGAUAACAGAGGAGAGGCGGGAGACGGAGGAACGCCAGGGCACAGUGUGCUGGCACUGGACCAACUUUGCGCCUGGUACCCGGAGAGAGGGCACCCCUUCCCACGGGCCCCUCCAUAGGAUGCCUUGGGCGUAAAAUAGAGUCAGUGGUUAAAAGAUUGCUCUUCCCAGCCAGGCACACCCUGUUUUAAAUCAUAGCUCCUGUGUCACCUCAAGUACCUGACCUCACCUCUCUGAACCUCAUUGCCUCAUUUAUAAAGUAGGGAUAAUAUUGGGACAUAUUCACAGGGUUCUUGGGGGGAUUUAGGGCGGAUUACAUUAAAAGUAUGUGGCACAAGGCGUGCAAAUAGGAAACAGGCGGCAAAUGCCAGCCAUAGUUGUUGUGUUGUUGUUAUAUUUAUCCUAGUUGCAAGCACUUCAAAGAAACAUCUCUAGCAUUUGCCACUUUAAUUUAUUUCCCAAACCACAUUUACAUGGAGCUUCUGCGCCAGCCACUGUGAUGGAAUUGUCUUAACAAACCUAUGAGGAAGGUACAUUUUUUUGUCUUCUUUUCUUUUUUUACACAUAACAAUAUUUGCCAUCAUAACCAUUUUUGUGUUCAGUAGUGUUAAGCAUGUUCACUUUCUUGCAAAAUUCACAUUUACGUUCAUGUUGUUGUGCACAUCGUUGUGCAACAGCUCUCUAGAACCUUGUCAUCUUGAAAAACUGAAACUCAUCUCCCAUUUCCCCCUCCCCCAACCCCUACUUUCUGUUUCUAGGAAGGUACUAUUUUAACCCUGUUUCACAAGUCAAGAAACCAACAGCAGCUACAUAAUUUGCGGGGCUCUGUGCAAAAUUAAAAUUAUGAGGAAUGUCAAGAUGGCAACAGCAGAGCAUUAAACCAAGCACAGCGCCGUUCUGAGUGCAGUCACAUGGGGCCCAUGAAACAGGCCCUGGAGGAAACCAAGGACCAGAGAAGUUGUUACUGUCCCAAGGUCACACAGCAAAUUUUGGAGACUCUAAAAUUACAUUACCUCCUUUACUUAUUGUAAACUCUCUGCAGACAGGGGCUUUGAUUGCCCAGUGCCCAGCACAGUGCCUGGCACACAGUGGCACUCAUUACAGAUUUCAUAGCUGGGGGAAUGGAUGAACAAGUCCCAUUCACUCGAGAAAAAAGAGGCUUCUCCAAGUUUCUGUGCUUUGCCCCAGCUCUGGCACAGUAACAUUCCCAUCCCUGCUCCUCCUUUGUGUUUACCUAGUGCCCUCUGAUUCCUAGGAGAAGGCAGAGCGGCGUGUGUCUGUCUAUAUAUAAUGUCCCCUAGCACUUUUAUGAGGCCCCACCCCUGCAGUACAUUCCUGGUUUUGAGUCCCACUUUUAUGGAGUGGAGUGAAGCUAGAAGACACUGGACAAAGUGAGGUCACUAGUGACAUGCCUUGGUUCCAGGUCCCCAGGUCACCCAGAGUCUGAUGGCUAAGUCCCCUCUCGGAUGUCAACAGAGGAAAACUAGAAUUGAAUUACUAAAGUAUGACCAAAACGAAAGUAAUGAAUACAUACCUGUGAACCCACCCAACAACAAGAUCAUUACCAAAAACUCAUAUCUCCCCUGGGCUCCCCAUCUAGCUCAUCCUUCCAUCUCGGAGGAAUUUGGGCUGACUGACACUGAAAUUUUGGCACAAGGAAAUAAGGGGUUUUUCAAGAAAAGCAGCAGUUCUCAAGCGGACCCAAGAGCAAGAAAAUUUCGGUGAGUUACCUAAGAAGGCAAAAGCGGGAGAAAUCUGUUAUUUGUGAUACGGUUGAGUUAAAUUGUAUUUGUGUCUUUGAGGCUGCCCUUGAUUUGUCAAAAUCUUAUUGCCACGGUAUUUCUAUAGACCGUGUAAAAUGUAUUUAGUUAUUCAACAUAUAUUUAUUGAGUGCCUACUAUGUCCAGGCAGUGUUCUAGGGGUUGGGGAUACAGCAUAAACAAAAGAGAUAAAAAUCCCUGUUUGCCGCUCCAGGAGAGACAGACAAUUAAAAAUAAGCAUACACUUGAUCAAGUAGCAAUGAAUGCCUGGAAGAAAGUAAAAAAGGGUAAAGGAAGGGAGAAGGAUGGCCGUCCUAUUUAGAUAAAGUGGCCUUAGGAGAUUUUUUUUGACAAGAUGAUGAUUGCUUUAAACCAAGUUCAGUAAGAAUUUGGAGUGUGUAUUUGGGAAGUCCUGGUAAAUUUUGCCACAUCUUGGCAGUGUGAUCUUCUUCUCAGUGACUAACUUCUCUGAGUCCCCCUGUAAAAUUAAGAGAGGAUGAGGAAAAUGCAUUGUAAAUGAUAGUGAUUAUCACAGUUUAUGAAUGCAAGCUGAUUAUAUUAUGAAUUUUAUGGAUGUAAUAAUAACUUCCCCAGGCCCCAAAGUAAGAAUAUUCCAAUCCACUGAGGGGGUUCUUGGCACAGUGCCUGGCAUUUAUAAUUAGGAAUGGGAUUUGGGACCAGCCACGGAGUAGGCACUCCCCUGAUUCUGCGAAUUCAGAAAGUGUAUGAUUGCUAACUUCAGUUCCCUCAUCUAUAAAUUGGAAAUAAUGGUGGUGCUGACCACUUAGGGUUAUUUCUUUACAUUGUUAAACUGACAUUUAUUGAGCCACAUUGAAUCAUGCAUCAGGCAUGGUCCUAAACAAUGGAAAUGUAUUCAUUCAUUUAAUCGAUAACAGCCCAGUAAAUCAAAUAUUAUUUUUUAACAGAAAUUUACAGUCAAGGAAAC